AUUGAACGCUGGCGGCAUGCCUUACACAUGCAAGUCGAACGGUAACGCGGGGCAACCUGGCGACGAGUGGCGAACGGGUGAGUAAUGCAUCGGAACGUGCCCAGUAGUGGGGGAUAGCCCGGCGAAAGCCGGAUUAAUACCGCAUACGACCUACGGGUGAAAGCGGGGGACCGCAAGGCCUCGCGCUAUUGGAGCGGCCGAUGUCAGAUUAGGUUGUUGGUGGGGUAAAGGCCUACCAAGCCGACGAUCUGAAGCUGGUCUGAGAGGACGACCAGCCACACUGGGACGGAGACGCGGCCCAGACUCCUACGGGAGGCGGCAGUGGGGAAUUUUGGACAAUGGGCGCAAGCCUGAGCCAGCCCUGCCGCGUGCGGGAAGAAGGCCUUCGGGUUGUAAACCGCUUUUGUCAGGGAAGAAACGCUCUGGGCUAAUACCCCGGGGUAAUGACGGUACCUGAAGAAUAAGCACCGGCUAACUACGUGCCAGCAGCCGCAGUAA
This 498-nucleotide ribosomal RNA is filed under the name uncultured bacterium. Its description in RNAcentral is "partial 16S ribosomal RNA". It matches the Rfam family "Bacterial small subunit ribosomal RNA", at positions 29 to 523 of the family's 1533-position model. The record is from RNAcentral.